AGACGUCACAUAGUCAAACGACGAUGUCUAAGGCCUGUCUGGAAGGCGGGAAGACAAAAAUUCUUCAAUUUAGACGUCGGUUCUGAACGUAAGCGACGUCUAAGUUCCUGUAAUUGAUUAUUUUCACCAAAUUCGAGGGUUUUAGACGUCGGCUAGGAGGGGCACCGACGUGAACUACCCCUGACAGGAAAUCAAACGUCAAUCUUUUCAGCUUCUUGACAUAGAAUAGACG
Molecule: long non-coding RNA, 232 nt
Filed under: Vigna radiata
Lineage: Eukaryota; Viridiplantae; Streptophyta; Magnoliopsida; Fabales; Fabaceae
Description: long non-coding RNA (VRAD_LNC013901)
Source: RNAcentral